RNAcentral lists this long non-coding RNA (282 nucleotides) under Nicotiana benthamiana. RNAcentral describes it as "long non-coding RNA (NBEN_LNC039800)". Lineage: Eukaryota; Viridiplantae; Streptophyta; Magnoliopsida; Solanales; Solanaceae. The record is from RNAcentral.
GAUGUAGACAAAGUAGGGGUUGGAAUAUUAGGCCUAGCAUGCUCUAACGCCUGUUUAUAAGCAUUAUAAACAGUUUGAGCGUUAACUUUAAUUGAUGCUUUCGCAUCAGCUAGUGUAGCAAUUUCUACUUCUGAAAGAUCUAAAGAUUGAUAAAUAUUAGAAUACCAAAAGUGAAGACCUCCUAAUUUCAUAGUUGGAUUUAACAUAGCAAACACACCAAAAAUAGGAGGGAUUGGAAAAAAAUAUUUUUUAAACUUUUUUUUCAUUUCAGUUAUUGCAAGN